RNAcentral lists this ribosomal RNA (353 nucleotides) under uncultured bacterium. Its description in RNAcentral is "bacterial SSU rRNA". It matches the Rfam family "Bacterial small subunit ribosomal RNA", at positions 355 to 699 of the family's 1533-position model. The record is from RNAcentral.
UAGGGAAUAUUGCGCAAUGGACGAAAGUCUGACGCAGCCACGCCGCGUGAGUGAGGAAGGCCUUCGGGUUGUAAAGCUCUGUCGCCUGGGAAAAACGGCUAUUGGGGGAAAGUUCCAGUAGCGUGAUGGUACCAGGAGAGGAAGCACCGGCAAACUCUGUGCCAGCAGCCGCGGUAAUACAGAGGGUGCAAGCGUUGUUCGGAAUUACUGGGCGUAAAGCGUGCGUAGUCGGUAUUGAGAGUCGCGGGUGAAAUCCCAGGGCUUAACCCUGGAACUGCCUGCGAGACCUCAGUACUAGAGUGUGAGAGGGGAUAGUGGAAUACCCAGUGUAGCGGUGAAAUGCGUAGAGAUUG